GAGUUUGAUCAUGGCUCAGAUUGAACGCUGGCGGCAUGCCUUACACAUGCAAGUCGAACGGCAGCAUGAUCUAGCUUGCUAGAUUGAUGGCGAGUGGCGAACGGGUGAGUAAUACAUCGGAACGUGCCCUGUAGUGGGGGAUAACUAGUCGAAAGAUUAGCUAAUACCGCAUACGACCUGAGGGUGAAAGUGGGGGACCGCAAGGCCUCAUGCUAUAGGAGCGGCCGAUGUCUGAUUAGCUAGUUGGUGAGGUAAAGGCUCACCAAGGCGACGAUCAGUAGCUGGUCUGAGAGGACGAUCAGCCACACUGGGACUGAGACACGGCCCAGACUCCUACGGGAGGCAGCAGUGGGGAAUUUUGGACAAUGGGGGCAACCCUGAUCCAGCAAUGCCGCGUGUGUGAAGAAGGCCUUCGGGUUGUAAAGCACUUUUGUCCGGAAAGAAAUCGCACUUACUAAUAUUAGGUGUGGAUGACGGUACCGGAAGAAUAAGGACCGGCUAACUACGUGCCAGCAGCCGCGGUAAUACGUAGGGUCCAAGCGUUAAUCGGAAUUACUGGGCGUAAAGCGUGCGCAGGCGGUUGUGCAAGACCGAUGUGAAAUCCCCGGGCUUAACCUGGGAAUUGCAUUGGUGACUGCACGGCUAGAGUGUGCCAGAGGGGGGUAGAAUUCCACGUGUAGCAGUGAAAUGCGUAGAGAUGUGGAGGAAUACCGAUGGCGAAGGCAGCCCCCUGGGAUAACACUGACGCUCAUGCACGAAAGCGUGGGGAGCAAACAGGAUUAGAUACCCUGGUAGUCCACGCCCUAAACGAUGUCAACUAGUUGUUGGGGAUUCAUUUCCUUAGUAACGUAGCUAACGCGUGAAGUUGACCGCCUGGGGAGUACGGUCGCAAGAUUAAAACUCAAAGGAAUUGACGGGGACCCGCACAAGCGGUGGAUGAUGUGGAUUAAUUCGAUGCAACGCGAAAAACCUUACCUACCCUUGACAUGCCACUAACGAAGCAGAGAUGCAUUAGGUGCUCGAAAGAGAAAGUGGACACAGGUGCUGCAUGGCUGUCGUCAGCUCGUGUCGUGAGAUGUUGGGUUAAGUCCCGCAACGAGCGCAACCCUUGUCUCUAGUUGCUACGAAAGGGCACUCUAGAGAGACUGCCGGUGACAAACCGGAGGAAGGUGGGGAUGACGUCAAGUCCUCAUGGCCCUUAUGGGUAGGGCUUCACACGUCAUACAAUGGUGCAUACAGAGGGUUGCCAAGCCGCGAGAUGGAGCUAAUCCCAGAAAAUGCAUCGUAGUCCGGAUCGUAGUCUGCAACUCGACUACGUGAAGCUGGAAUCGCUAGUAAUCGCGGAUCAGCAUGCCGCGGUGAAUACGU
This 1368-nucleotide ribosomal RNA is filed under the name unidentified marine bacterioplankton. RNAcentral describes it as "bacterial SSU rRNA". It matches the Rfam family "Bacterial small subunit ribosomal RNA", at positions 9 to 1371 of the family's 1533-position model. The record is from RNAcentral.